Molecule: non-coding RNA, 27 nt
Filed under: Homo sapiens (human)
Lineage: Eukaryota; Metazoa; Chordata; Mammalia; Primates; Hominidae
Source: RNAcentral
CAUGGUACAUACCCACCCACCUGCUGA